GCAAAAACCGACCUGACCCGACAAAACCGACCAAACCGAAGAAUUUGGGUCGGUUUGGGUUGGUUUUUAUUGUUUAGUCGGUUUGGGUCGGGUUAUACAUAUUUAAAUGUUAGAUUUUCGGUUCGGGUUACGGGUUGGAAGGAAUUUUAACCCACCCAACCCGAACCGAACCGUUUCAUAACCAAAGAGCCAUUUUGCAAAAAUUAUUUUCAUUAAAUUAUUUCUAUGAAAUUUUGUAAGCCAUUGAUCUCUCACCAUCUAAUUACCACCGUUGGAUUUCAAGAUGAAAACACAAUACACAACAGUGACAGCACUCAACAGAACACAAUCUCAGAUUCUCACAAAACGAAAUUGAAGCCCUAGCAUUCGCGUCGCCAAUCGCCACUCGCAGGCAGCAUCCUCCGGCCAGCCACCACCCGAUUGAACUCCCAAGCAACGCCACCACUCGUCACCCUCCCAAGUCCCAAGCUCUGCAGAAUAUAUUGGAAGAAAGCUACUUCUUCAGUCACCUUCAAGGACCAAACAGCUUGCCUGAAUCACCUGUUGGACAGGCUUCUCAAACUCUCAGCAGUCAGCACUAAUUUGGGCAGUGAAUCUAAUUCCUCUCCAAAUGGUAGAACAGAUGUGGCAGAUAAAAUCAAACAGCCUAUCGUGACUUGCAUAAAUCGAAUAGCAUUCCUUUUCUUUGUUUAAUUCCAAGAUCACAAACAAUUGUGUGAUUGUCUAUUAUUUGGAGGUAAGUUACUUAGCCUUUUUCUCGUUAUUUUUGCAUGUGGGAAGGUCAAAAAUUGCUUUUGGAAAGUGUAGUGAAGCAUAGGCUGUGAAAUUGUUUGCUGUGAAGUUUGGAGAUUGUGAAGUGAUGUGUGACUUGAUUGCUGUGAAGUUGUUAAUAUAACCUGGCCUGCUGAUUUUGACAGCUAUAUGUAUAUAUAUUUGUAUAUAUAUAUAUAUAUACAUAUAUGUAUAUGUUUAUUUUGUUUUUAAUAGGUUCUAGAUGGAUGAAGGCCACAAUGAUUUGUAUGAUAUUAAUGAAUUGGAAGAGUAUUUAAAUGAAUCAGAUAAAGCUGAAUCUCAACCUUCACAGUUGGAUAAACCUUAUAAAACGCAAAAGAGAAAACCUUCUAGGGCUCCAUCUUGGGUUUGGGAACA
This is a long non-coding RNA of Ziziphus jujuba (common jujube), 1149 nucleotides long. RefSeq lists it as uncharacterized. The transcript is spliced from 3 exons. The record is from RefSeq and is a predicted model, not a curated record. Lineage: Eukaryota; Viridiplantae; Streptophyta; Magnoliopsida; Rosales; Rhamnaceae.